This 325-nucleotide ribosomal RNA is filed under the name uncultured eukaryote. Its description in RNAcentral is "partial 18S ribosomal RNA". It matches the Rfam family "Eukaryotic small subunit ribosomal RNA", at positions 1470 to 1796 of the family's 1831-position model. The record is from RNAcentral.
CCCUUAGAUGUUCUGGGCCGCACGCGCGCUACACUGAUGCAUUCAACGAGCCUAUCCUUGACCGACAGGCCCGGGUAAUCUUUGAAUCUGCAUCGUGACGGGGAUAGAUUAUUGCAAUUAUUAAUCUUCAACGAGGAAUGCCUAGUAGGCGCAAGUCAUCAGCUUGCGUCGAUUACGUCCCUGCCCUUUGUACACACCGCCCGUCGCUCCUACCGAUUGGGUGUGCUGGUGAAAUGUUCGGAUCGGCCGUUUGUCGCGGUUUCCGCGUCAUGUGGCUGAGAAGUUCAUUAACCCCUCCCACCUAGAGGAAGGAGAAGUCGUAACA